AUAACGGUCCUAAGGUAGCGAAAUUCCUUGUCAGGUAAGUUCUGACCCGCACGAAUGGCGUAAUGAUUUGGGCACUGUCUCGACAGCCCGCCCGGCGAAAUUGUAGUACUGGUGAAGAUGCCAGUUACCCGCAACUAGACGGAAAGACCCCAUGGAGCUUUACUGCAGUUUAAUACUGGGAAUCGGUAAUUCAUGUACAGGAUAGGUGGGAGACUGGGAAGCAUGGCCGUCAGGUCGUGUGGAGUCACCGGUGGGAUACCACUCUUGGAUUGCUGGUUUCCUAACCUGCGGCCCUGAAUCGGGUCGGGGGACACUGUUAGACGGGCAGUUUGACUGGGGCGGUCGCCUCCAAAAGAGUAACGGAGGCGCUCAAAGGUUCGUUCAGCACGGACGGAAAUCGUGCAUUGAGUGUAAACGCAUAAACGAGCCUAACUGCGAGACCGACGGGUCGAGCAGUAACGAAAGUUGGAGUUAGUGAUCCGGUGGUAUGUGAGUGGAAAUGCCAUCGCUCAACGGAUAAAAGCUACCCUGGGGAUAACAGGCUGAUCUCCCCCAAGCGUCCACAGCGACGGGGAGGUUUGGCACCUCGAUGUCGGCUCGUCGCAUCCUGGGGCUGAAUUCGGUCCCAAGGGUUUGGCUGUUCGCCAAUUAAAGCGGCACGCGAGCUGGGUUCAGAACGUCGUGAGACAGUUCGGUCCCUAUCUGUUGCGGGCGUAGGAGAUUUGAAGGGAGCUGACCUUAGUACGAGAGGACCGGGUUGGACGUACCUCUGGUGUACCAGUUGUUCUGCCAAGGGCAUGGCUGGGUAGCUACGUACGGACGAGAUAAACGCUGAAGGCAUCUAAGCGUGAAACUCUCCCUGAGAUAAGAUCUCCACUGAGGCUCGACGUAGACUAUGUCGUUGAUAGGUCAGAGGUGUAAGUGCUGAGAGGCAUUGAGCUGACUGAUACUAAUAAGCCGAAAGCUUGACCAA
Molecule: ribosomal RNA, 973 nt
Filed under: human gut metagenome
Description: bacterial LSU rRNA
Rfam family: Bacterial large subunit ribosomal RNA
Source: RNAcentral